AGAGUUUGAUUCUGGCUCAGGAUGAACGCUGGCGGUCUGCUUAACACAUGCAAGUCGAACGGGGGUCUUCGGACCCUAGUGGCGGACGGGUGAGUAACGCGUGAGAAUCUGCCCUCAGGACGGGGACAACAGCUGGAAACGGCUGCUAAUACCCGAUGUGCCGAGAGGUGAAAUGUAAUUCGCCUGAGGAUGAGCUCGCGUCUGAUUAGCUAGUUGGUAGGGUAAGAGCCUACCAAGGCGACGAUCAGUAGCUGGUCUGAGAGGAUGAUCAGCCACACUGGGACUGAGACACGGCCCAGACUCCUACGGGAGGCAGCAGUGGGGAAUUUUCCGCAAUGGGCGCAAGCCUGACGGAGCAAGACCGCGUGCGGGAUGGAGGUCUGUGGACUGUAAACCGCUUUUGAUAGGGAAGAACACAAUGACGGUACCUAUCGAAUCAGCCUCGGCUAACUCCGUGCCAGCAGCCGCGGUAAUACGGAGGAGGCAAGCGUUAUCCGGAAUUAUUGGGCGUAAAGCGUCCGUAGGUGGUGAUGCAAGUCUAUUGUCAAAGCAUGAGGCUUAACCUCAUACCGGCAGUGGAAACUGCAUUGCUAGAGUGCGAUAGGGGCAAGGGGAAUUCCCAGUGUAGCGGUGAAAUGCGUAGAUAUUGGGAAGAACAUCGGUGGCGAAAGCGCCUUGCUGGGUCUGCACUGACACUGAGGGACGAAAGCUAGGGGAGCGAAAGGGAUUAGAUACCCCUGUAGUCCUAGCCGUAAACGAUGGAUACUAGGCGUUGUCCGUAUCGACCCGGGCAGUGCCGUAGCUAACGCGUUAAGUAUCCCGCCUGGG
RNAcentral lists this ribosomal RNA (828 nucleotides) under uncultured Oscillatoriales cyanobacterium. RNAcentral describes it as "bacterial SSU rRNA". It matches the Rfam family "Bacterial small subunit ribosomal RNA", at positions 8 to 877 of the family's 1533-position model. Lineage: Bacteria; Bacillati; Cyanobacteriota; Cyanophyceae; Oscillatoriales. The record is from RNAcentral.